AAUCAACGCUGGCGGCGUGCCUCAGACAUGCAAGUCGAACGAUUAAAGCUCUCUUCGGAGAGUGUAUAGAGUGGCGCACGGGUGAGUAACACGUAAGUAAUCUACCCUCGAGUGGGGAAUAACAACCGGAAACGGUUGCUAAUACCGCAUAAUGCAGCGGCACCGCAAGGUGACAGUUGUUAAAGAUUUAUCGCUUGAGGAGGAGCUUGCGGCAGAUUAGCUAGUUGGUAGGGUAACGGCUUACCAAGGCUACGAUCUGUAACCGGUCUAAGAGGACGGUCGGUCACACUGACACUGAAUAACGGGUCAGACUCCUACGGGAGGCAGCAGUCGGGAAUUUUGGGCAAUGGGCGAAAGCCUGACCCAGCAACGCCGCGUGAAGGAUGAAGUAUUUCGGUAUGUAAACUUCGAAAGAAUAGGGAAGAAUUAAUGACGGUACUAUUUAUAAGGUACCGGCUAACUACGUGCCAGC
RNAcentral lists this ribosomal RNA (472 nucleotides) under uncultured bacterium. Its description in RNAcentral is "bacterial SSU rRNA". It matches the Rfam family "Bacterial small subunit ribosomal RNA", at positions 32 to 512 of the family's 1533-position model. The record is from RNAcentral.